GAGGGCAUAGCUCAGGGGUAGAGCGCGCGCUUCGCAUGCGCGAGGUCUGGGGUUCGAUUCCUUUUUUUUUUU
Molecule: transfer RNA, 72 nt
Filed under: Pristionchus pacificus
Lineage: Eukaryota; Metazoa; Nematoda; Chromadorea; Rhabditida; Neodiplogasteridae
Rfam family: tRNA
About the family: Transfer RNA (tRNA) molecules are approximately 80 nucleotides in length. Their secondary structure includes four short double-helical elements and three loops (D, anti-codon, and T loops). Further hydrogen bonds mediate the characteristic L-shaped molecular structure. tRNAs have two regions of fundamental functional importance: the anti-codon, which is responsible for specific mRNA codon recognition, and the 3' end, to which the tRNAs corresponding amino acid is attached (by aminoacyl-tRNA synthetases). tRNAs cope with the degeneracy of the genetic code in two manners: having more than one tRNA (with a specific anti-codon) for a particular amino acid; and 'wobble' base-pairing, i.e. permitting non-standard base-pairing at the 3rd anti-codon position.
Source: Rfam by way of RNAcentral